This 400-nucleotide ribosomal RNA is filed under the name uncultured bacterium. RNAcentral's name for it is "bacterial SSU rRNA". It matches the Rfam family "Bacterial small subunit ribosomal RNA", at positions 28 to 429 of the family's 1533-position model. The record is from RNAcentral.
GACGAACGCUGGCGGCGUGCUUAACACAUGCAAGUCGAGCGGUAAGGCCCUUUCGGGGGUACACGAGCGGCGAACGGGUGAGUAACACGUGGGUGACCUGCCCUCAGCUCUGGGAUAAGCCUGGGAAACCGGGUCUAAUACUGGAUAUGACUCCAUGACGCAUGUUGUGGGGUGGAAAGCCUUGUGCGGCUGAGGAUGGGCCCGCGGCCUAUCAGCUUGUUGGUGGGGUGANGGCCUACCAAGGCGACGACGGGUAGCCGGCCUGAGAGGGCGACCGGCCACACUGGGACUGAGACACGGCCCAGACUCCUACGGGAGGCAGCAGUGGGGAAUCUUGCGCAAUGGGCGAAAGCCUGAUCCAGCGACGCCGCGUGGGUGAAGAAGGCCUGCGGGUUGUAAA